Molecule: ribosomal RNA, 468 nt
Filed under: uncultured bacterium
Lineage: Bacteria
Description: partial 16S ribosomal RNA
Rfam family: Bacterial small subunit ribosomal RNA
Source: RNAcentral
GACGAACGCUGGCGGCGGGCUUAACACAUGCAAGUCGAACGGAAAGGCCCUGCUUUUGUGGGGUGCGCGAGUGGCGAACGGGUGAGUAACACGUGAGUAACCUGCCCUUGACUUUGGGAUAACUUCAGGAAACUGGGGCUAAUACCGGAUAGGAGCUCCUGCUGCAUGGUGGGGGUUGGAAAGUUUCGGCGGUUGGGGAUGGACGCGCGGCUUAUCAGCUUGUUGGUGGGGUAGUGGCUUACCAAGGCUUGGACGGGUAGCCGGCCUGGGCGGGUGACCGGCCCAGCUAGACUGGGACUGCGACACGGCCCACACCGGUACGCGACAGAGGAGUAUGUAGUCCAGCGGAAUGAGGCAUAGUGUGGCGCAGCCGCGUGGCGUGAAAGGGGAAUCGGUUAGGAAUCCACUUUUCUUUGUCCCGAGACGUGAGUGACGGUAACGGGUGAAGAAGCCCCGGCUAACUACGUG